GGAGAAGGUGAAGGAGAGGAUGAAGGAGAAGAAGAGGAAGCUGAAGGGGCAAGUGCCGAAGAGUCACAACAACCAGAAGAAGCAGCAGAAGGUGGAGGAGAAGCACCAGCGGAGGAAUAAAGACCGGAUUUCCAACAAAACAUCGCAACAACCGCUGUGACAAGAAGGGAGGGAGCAGCUCCAUCAUUAGAACAGAAAUGUGAUAAAAACUGAUUUGUUUACACGUACACUUGAUUACGAGUUACCAGCUUGUCGUAAUAGGAUGAUAGUACAGGCAACAACAACAUCUUGUGUGUAUACAUCAAAGGGUAUGUCACAGCGAUGUCCGUAUUGUUUAGCUAAGUCUCAAUGAUAAAGUCUGUAUUGUUUAGUCUGGUCUCAAAGAUAAAGUCUGUAUUGUUUAGUCUCAAUGAUAAACUCUGUAUUGUUUAGCUUGGUCUCAAUGAUAAAGUCUGUAUUGCUUAGCUAGGUCUCAAUGAUAAAGUCUGUAUUGCUUAGCUAGGUCUCAAUGAUAAAUGCUUUAUAGUUUAGCUAGGUCUGAGUGGUGGAGUGCGUAGUCUGUCAUUGGAAUACAUAAAUGCCGCAAUCAGUGUCAAAGCCGCAUUAAACUUUAGAAAGUGUGACAAGUAAACCUCGAUGUGGAUAAAAGAAAGUUUUUUACAUAGGGUUGUAAGCAAAACAAAGUAAUCCACAAAAGUAUGCCGUUUGUGAAAACUGUGAUAUUUGUCAAAAAUCUACAAGCGUACCGCUCUGGCUGUAAUCAUAGGGAGGUAAACAUAUCUCCUCUAGAAAUGUGAGACAAUAUUCUCACUCCCUGUUUAUCAUUUGUGCUGCUGUACUAAUGCACUCCUUCAUCAGAAAUACUUGUAUAACUUAAGUUUAUGCUAACAUAUGUAUUAACUAAAGGUACACUGUUCACACACGUGGCUUACUAUCUAUAUCUAUCCAUACACUAUAUUGUUGAUCAACUCCUGUCAUGCAGUUUAAAAAUGACUUCUGUAUACCACACGGCAGGCCUCUGUCAGAGAGCUCCAGAGUGUUUGAUAUUAAAGUAUACAGAAAGUCCACAAAUA
Pomacea canaliculata is the source of this 1073-nucleotide long non-coding RNA. RefSeq lists it as uncharacterized. Lineage: Eukaryota; Metazoa; Mollusca; Gastropoda; Architaenioglossa; Ampullariidae. The record is from RefSeq and is a predicted model, not a curated record. The transcript is spliced from 4 exons.